Long non-coding RNA from Zea mays, 357 nucleotides. RefSeq lists it as uncharacterized. The transcript has 3 exons. The record is from RefSeq and is a predicted model, not a curated record. Lineage: Eukaryota; Viridiplantae; Streptophyta; Magnoliopsida; Poales; Poaceae.
AGGUCUCGCCCAUCGAGGUCGUCUAGCCGUGGUCCUCGCUCUAGUACCCAAGGAAACGCCGAGCUGAUCCGGGUGCAGGAAGCUUUGAGGCGGCAGGAGGAGUAUAACAAGCAACAACAAGAGUACUGGGCUGCUCAAUUUGCACGACAGCAGGAGAUGAUGCAGCAAAUAGCACUAGGACAACGUCCAGAUUUUUCAGCGAUGACUAUGCCACCUCCUCCACCUAUCCCGCAGUUUGUACCGACUCCACAAUUUAGUUGGCCCACACCUGCACCUCAGGUCCCUCCAGGAAACUUGCUAACUCCGGGAAAUGAGGACUCUGAAGAUGCAGUCGCUUCUUUUGUGGACGGUCUUCUA